AUGCAAGAUUGCAUAGUACCUAGAUCAGUAAUUAUAUAGUUACGUUCGAUUGAAAUCGUGCAGUUUACUCCGGCCUCUAUAAAGGAGUCUGUUAAAGGACAGUUGUUAAACUUCACAAUUGUAAAAGGCCGUUGGCAGAAACAACUAAUCAGACUGCCUUUUCCGAAAAACACUCAACGUUCGCUCCACCGACGCAUUUGAAAAACUCCGUGUAGAUCAAAUCGACUGAAAACAUCAUCCGAAAAAGUGCACGCUGUGUAUCACAAUAAAGCAUUAACCCUUAGAGGCUUCGUCGCUUCGUCGAGUGACGCCGAAAAUUUUUCCAAAUGUGUCAGCGUCAGUCUGUGCGAUUCUUUAUCUUUGAUAGCGAUGAAUGUCUUAGCUGAGUCGGUUGCUCCGCGAGGUUCUCACUACGGAAAUCCGGAACGCCCUCGAGAUAUUUGAAUACCUCAUGUGGAGUGAAAGAAACCAGAUAGGGACAUGGUACAGGAUGAGGAAAGUUACAUUAUCUUCCCAUGAGUCGGUUUUUCUAAUAAGCGGACGUUUUUUACUGUGAAAAGCGUAUUUUUUCAAAUAUAUAUG
This is a long non-coding RNA of Nomia melanderi (Alkali bee), 582 nucleotides long. RefSeq lists it as uncharacterized. The record is from RefSeq and is a predicted model, not a curated record. NCBI's taxonomy places the organism in Eukaryota, Metazoa, Arthropoda, Insecta, Hymenoptera, Halictidae.